RNAcentral lists this ribosomal RNA (778 nucleotides) under uncultured Neocallimastigales. RNAcentral's name for it is "partial large subunit ribosomal RNA". It matches the Rfam family "Eukaryotic large subunit ribosomal RNA", at positions 22 to 646 of the family's 3401-position model. The record is from RNAcentral. Lineage: Eukaryota; Fungi; Neocallimastigomycota; Neocallimastigomycetes; Neocallimastigales.
CAUAGCGACUAUCGUGGCAUAUCAAUAAGCGGAGGAAAAGAAACUAACUAGGAUUCCCUCAGUAACGGCGAGUGAAGCGGGAAGAGCUCAAAUUUGAAAUCUUCAAGGUUCUACCUUGACGAAUUGUAGUUUAAAGAAGUGUUUUCUGUUGGAGUUUUGGUAAAAGUUCUUUGGAAUAGGACAUCAUAGAGGGUGAGAAUCCCGUAUUUGACCAUUAUUUCCAGCUGUGUGAUACACUUUCAAAGAGUCGGAUUGUUUGGGAAUGCAGUCCAAAAUGGGUGGUAAAUUUCAUCUAAAGCUAAAUACUGGCGAGAGACCGAUAGCGAACAAGUACCGUGAGGGAAAGAUGAAAAGAACUUUGAAAAGAGAGUUAAACAGUACGUGAAAUUGUCAAAAGGGAAGCGUUUGACACCAGUGUUGUUUUCUCGAAAAUCAAUUAAAAAUGCUGGGAUUUUGUGUUGUAUUGACUUUAUCAGCUUUCUGCACUUUUUUCCUUAUCUUUUUUAAUGCACUUUUCGUUUAACAAGUCAACAUCAGUUUCUUUUGUUGUAAAAGAGUCAUUGGAAGGUGGCUUUCUUUUCGGAGAAAGUGUUUAUAGCCUUUGAUCUUCUGCAAUCGGAGAGAUUGAGGUCUGCAGCGUAGACUCCUUCGGGGUUAGAUACAUUUGUGCUAAGCUAUAGCCUUUUCAUAGACAACUUGUUGACUAUGAUCAGUCAUGUAGCUUACUCGCUGAUGCUAUUUUACCUACGCUUAGGAUGUUGACGAGACUGUCGAUCUC